AUGCAGAGAUUUGGCGAUCCUCUCCACCUCCUCGGCCGUCUCCCUGUCGUCACGGAGGAUCAUCUUCCCCUCUGGCCUGAGGAUCCGGUCCACCUCCGCCAUCACCAGCCUCACCUUGCACCUGUACUUGAGCUUGGAGAAGAGAUGGUCGGCGUGGACGAGAUCGUACGACCUCGGGUACGUGCUCAGGGACUCGCACCAGUCGUGGUACAUCCCCAGCAGCCCGCGCUCGUAGAUGAUGGGCAGCGUGUCCGGCGACUCCACCGGCACGAUGUUCAUCACCCACACCUUCAUGUCGCGCAGCGCCGCCGCCAACCUGAUCGAUCAAGCCAUGUCCAUGUCCAUGUCAUGCAUGCUCCUCCUUCAACUUCAACACACAAGGAAAGGAAAGGAAAGGAAAGGAAAGGAAAGGAAAGGGCUUACCCGCCGUAG
This 432-nucleotide ribosomal RNA is filed under the name Triticum aestivum (bread wheat). RNAcentral describes it as "partial small subunit ribosomal RNA". Lineage: Eukaryota; Viridiplantae; Streptophyta; Magnoliopsida; Poales; Poaceae. The record is from RNAcentral.